UUGAUUGGUAAAUAGGUCGUUUGGUUGCAUCUUUUCUACUCUCCUCAGUUGAAUGUGGCAAAGCCCCGCCACUAGCAAGAAAUUGAUUUCUCAUUGCUUCUAAUCUUCGAGCUUCUUCCUUUUGCUUUCCAGUAAGCAAUUUUCCUUCAAGUUUCUUCUUCAAGAGCUUUUCCUUCUCCCUCUCUUUUUUCAAGUGUUUUUUCUCCUCUACAAGUCUUUUUAGUUCCUCCAGUCGAAGGUGUUCUUCUUCUUCCUUCCGUAAUCUUUCCUCUUCUUCCUUCUUCUUGCUUUCUUCAGCUUCCUUCAUUUUUUUAAGUCUCUCUUGUAUCUCCCUAACCUGCUUCGACUGCUUUUUCUCUGCCAAUUUUCCUUUGGUAUCAUUCUUUGUUGCUUCCUG
Molecule: unclassified non-coding RNA, 397 nt
Filed under: Hevea brasiliensis (rubber tree)
Lineage: Eukaryota; Viridiplantae; Streptophyta; Magnoliopsida; Malpighiales; Euphorbiaceae
Source: RNAcentral